GUGCUCACUUUGGCAGCACAUAUACUAACACUGGAAUGAUACAGAGAUUAGCAUGGCCUCUGCACAAGGAUGAGACACAGGGAAUUAGGUAGUAAAGGCUGAA
Molecule: small nuclear RNA, 103 nt
Organism: Jaculus jaculus (lesser Egyptian jerboa)
Lineage: Eukaryota; Metazoa; Chordata; Mammalia; Rodentia; Dipodidae
Source: Ensembl